Molecule: non-coding RNA, 391 nt
Organism: Paramuricea clavata
Lineage: Eukaryota; Metazoa; Cnidaria; Anthozoa; Malacalcyonacea; Plexauridae
Source: the annotation of a GenBank genome assembly
CUGAAGGUUGAGUGAGCAUAUGAGAUAUAUUAUCCGUCUUUAAACGUAUACAUUAUCUCGAAGAAGCUCUAUAUAGGAACUUCGUACAGAUUGGCGUGCUUACCGUAACUGAAACUAUCAACUGGGAUAGAUUGUGGGCAUUGUUGAUUUUUCAAGCCGAUUUAGCAGAUAUAAGGUUUGUUACUUCUUAAAUACAUGCAUAUAUACUGAUCACAGAAUUGACCGAAAUAAUAUUAUUUGUGUUACAUGAAAUUGUUAAUGCAUUGAUUGCAUGCCAUCUGUUCCAAAACCAUGUUCAGUAUAUUUUACAGCACAACUGCGUCAGCUACUUGCUAAUUUGCACAAUAUAACACAGAUCAAUGAGAAUUCAAUUCCUUUACUUAUACUGCAG